This 379-nucleotide non-coding RNA is filed under the name Oryza sativa Indica Group (long-grained rice). The record is from RNAcentral. Lineage: Eukaryota; Viridiplantae; Streptophyta; Magnoliopsida; Poales; Poaceae.
AAACAAGGCUAACUUUCAAGAAUGUCAUGUAGCUAGGCCGGCCAUCUAGGUAUAUGGAACAAAAUCCCCUCAGCAUAAAUCCACAGUAGGAAUGUAGGAUAUUAGAGAUGCAAUUAAGCCUAGCAUGAGCAAUAAGAACCACUCAGGCUAGCCAAGGAGACUGCCCAUGAACCAGCUUAAAGGAUCAUUAAAUUGCUAAUCCUUCAGGGAGGACACAGGCAAGUCAUCCUUGGCUAUCAGAGAUAAGUCCUUACUGCCAUCCAUGUAAGGCUGCUUCUCUCUUUUGCUUCAUCUAGUGUUGGUUACCUUAGCAGCUUAGCUUGAAUGGUCUGUACUGCAUUGGAUUGUUGCUUCCAUUCAACAUCUAUUUAUAUAUACC